RNAcentral lists this ribosomal RNA (506 nucleotides) under uncultured bacterium. Its description in RNAcentral is "bacterial SSU rRNA". It matches the Rfam family "Bacterial small subunit ribosomal RNA", at positions 899 to 1397 of the family's 1533-position model. The record is from RNAcentral.
ACUCAAAGGAAUUGACGGGGGCCCGCACAAGCGGUGGAGCAUGUGGUUUAAUUCGACGCUACGCGAAGAACCUUACCUGGGCUUGAACUGCUGGUGGUAGAAGCCCGAAAGGGUAACGACCCGGAGCAAUCCGGGAGCCAGUAGAGGUGCUGCAUGGCUGUCGUCAGCUCGUGUCGUGAGAUGUUGGGUUAAGUCCCGCAACGAGCGCAACCCUUACCCUUAGUUGCCAGCGGGUAAUGCCGGGCACUCUAAGGGGACCGCCCCGGAUAACGGGGAGGAAGGCGGGGAUGACGUCAAGUCAGCAUGGCCUUUAUGUCCAGGGCUACACACGUGCUACAAUGGGCGAUACAGAGGGAAGCAAGGCCGCAAGGUAGAGCUAAUCCCUAAAGUCGUCCUCAGUUCGGAUUGCAGGCUGCAACUCGCCUGCAUGAAGUCGGAAUCGCUAGUAAUCGCGGAUCAGCUACGCCGCGGUGAAUACGUUCUCGGGCCUUGUACACACCGCCCGU